This is an RNA transcript of Hemibagrus wyckioides, 1332 nucleotides long. It is a transcript of the gene named serine/threonine-protein kinase pim-1-like, with no coding region annotated. The transcript is spliced from 5 exons. NCBI's taxonomy places the organism in Eukaryota, Metazoa, Chordata, Actinopteri, Siluriformes, Bagridae. The record is from RefSeq and is a predicted model, not a curated record.
CCACAAAUGGUUUGAUGAACCUCAGAAGAAUGUCAAAAUGAGACAAGGUGUUUGAGUUUCUGUACACUCCGGGAGAGCUGCUGGGUGAAGGAGGCUACGGGACAGUCUGUGCAGGAGUCCGUAAUGCUGAUGGAAAGCAGGUUGCACUUAAAUAUAUGGGGGAAAAAAAGGACAUUAAAUACAUCACCAUUCCUGGAGAGACAAGCAGCCUUCCUCUGGAAGUUGCAUUUAUGAAAAAGGUUUCCAAGCCACUUCUUUGUAAGAACGUGCUGGAGAUUAUUGAAUGGUUCGAGAUGUCCGAUUGCUUCAUCUUGGUCCUGGAGCGACCCAGCCCCUGCAUGGACGUCCUGCAGUUCCUUAAACAUCACGACGGCCGACUGUCAGAAGCACUGGCUACAAAAUUAUGGGUCAGGUGGUUAAAGCUGCUCGUCACUGCUGUAGUGCCGGUGUUUUUCAUGGUGACAUCAAGGCGGAGAACCUUCUCAUCAACCCUGACACACUGGAAGUGAAGCUUAUUGACUUUGGCUGUGGAGAUUUGCUCUCUCACACACCCUACACAGAAUAUGAAGGUAAGUGCAUAAUAAGUACAAGACAGAAUCAAAGAGAAUACAUUGAAGUUUUUUUUUCAACAGUGCUGAUGGUGCUCCUUCUCUCACUUUGAGUAACUCUCCACCUGAGUGGGUGUGUGAUGGAGAGUAUUUCGGUUAUCCUGCCACCAUGUGGAGUCUGGGAGUUCUCCUGUUUUACCUGGUCUGUGGACACUUGCCCUUCCACAACGAGGACGACAUCUUUUACAGGAAGAUGUACUUCGCUCAAGGCAUGUCUGAAGGUUGCCACAAUCUGAUAAACUGGUGUCUGGACCCGGAACCUGAAUGUUGGCCAAUGUUUGAAGAAAUCCUCAACCAUAAAUGGGUUACAUCUGCUGGAUAUGAGUGAAGGAUCUGAGUGGGGGUGGAGCUGUUGAAGACCCUCGCCCUCACUUACAUAAAGAAAAAAAUAAACAAACAAAUGUAUAUAUAAAUGUAUAUAUAAAACAAAUAAAUCGUUGUAUAUAUAAAUGAAUUCCAUUGCAGCACCAUUUUUUUUCUUAUUUAGCAAUCUGGAUGUCUAUUUUCUAGUGUGCUUGGGAUUACUGUCCUGUUCACUCCAGCUUAAGCUGCUGAAAUAUGGUCCUAUACCUGAUUUGGAAAUAGAUGUACACACAUGGACAAAAUUGUUGGUACCCUUCCAUUAAAGAAAGAAUGGUCACUGAAAUAACUUGAAAUGGUGAAAAGUAAUAAUAAAUAAAAAUUUACUUAAAAAUGACUAAUGAAAAUCAGACAUUGAUUUUGA